RNAcentral lists this ribosomal RNA (253 nucleotides) under uncultured bacterium. Its description in RNAcentral is "partial 16S ribosomal RNA". It matches the Rfam family "Bacterial small subunit ribosomal RNA", at positions 524 to 776 of the family's 1533-position model. The record is from RNAcentral.
UACGAAGGUCCCAAGCGUUGUUCGGAAUUACUGGGCGUAAAGGGCUGGUAGGCGGCCAACUAAGUCGGACGUGAAAUCCCCAGGCUCAACCUGGGAACUGCGUCCGAUACUGGAUGGCUUGAAUUCGGGAGAGGGAUGCAGAAUUCCAGGUGUAGCGGUGAAAUGCGUAGAUAUCUGGAGGAACACCGGUGGCGAAGGCGGCAUCCUGGACCGGCAUUGACGCUGAGGAGCGAAAGCCAGGGGAGCAAACGGG